This 406-nucleotide ribosomal RNA is filed under the name uncultured bacterium. Its description in RNAcentral is "partial 16S ribosomal RNA". It matches the Rfam family "Bacterial small subunit ribosomal RNA", at positions 29 to 526 of the family's 1533-position model. The record is from RNAcentral.
AUUGAACGCUGGCGGCAGGCCUAACACAUGCAAGUCGAGCGAGCGGCGGACGGGUGAGUAAUGUCUGGGAAACUGCCUGAUGGAGGGGGAUAACUACUGGAAACGGUAGCUAAUACCGCAUACCAUCAGAUGUGCCCCGAUGGGAUUAGCUAGUAGGUGGGGUAAGGGCUCACCUAGGCGACGAUCCCUAGCGGGUCUGAGAGGAUGACCAGCCACACGGGAACUGAGAAACGGUCCAGACUCCUACGUGAGGCGGCAGUGGGGAAUAUUGGAAAAUGGGCGAAAGCCGGAUGCAGCCAGGCCGCGUGUGGGAAGAAGGUUUUCGGGUUGUAAAGUACUUUCAGCGGGGAGGCGGUACCUGCAGAAGAAGCACCGGCUAACUCCGUGCCAGCAGCCGCGGUAAUUC